This 492-nucleotide ribosomal RNA is filed under the name uncultured bacterium. RNAcentral's name for it is "partial 16S ribosomal RNA". It matches the Rfam family "Bacterial small subunit ribosomal RNA", at positions 29 to 507 of the family's 1533-position model. The record is from RNAcentral.
AGUGAACGCUGGCGGUAGGCCUAACACAUGCAAGUCGAACGGCAGCACAGUAAGAGCUUGCUCUUACGGGUGGCGAGUGGCGGACGGGUGAGGAAUACAUCGGAAUCUACUUUUUCGUGGGGGAUAACGUAGGGAAACUUACGCUAAUACCGCAUACGACCUACGGGUGAAAGCAGGGGAUCUUCGGACCUUGCGCGAUUGAAUGAGCCGAUGUCGGAUUAGCUAGUUGGCGGGGUAAAGGCCCACCAAGGCGACGAUCCGUAGCUGGUCUGAGAGGAUGAUCAGCCACACUGGAACUGAGACACGGUCCAGACUCCUACGGGAGGCAGCAGUGGGGAAUAUUGGACAAUGGGCGCAAGCCUGAUCCAGCCAUACCGCGUGGGUGAAGGAGGCCUUCGGGUUGUAAAGCCCUUUUGUUGGGAAAGAAAAGCAGCAGGUUAAUACCCCGCUGUUCUGACAGUACCCAAAGAAUAAGCACCGGCUAACUUCGUG